This 395-nucleotide ribosomal RNA is filed under the name uncultured bacterium. RNAcentral describes it as "bacterial SSU rRNA". It matches the Rfam family "Bacterial small subunit ribosomal RNA", at positions 917 to 1322 of the family's 1533-position model. The record is from RNAcentral.
GGACCCGCACAAGCGGUGGAGUAUGUGGUUUAAUUCGAUGCAACACGAAGAACCUUACCAGGGUUUGAAAUCAUUUCAAAACUCCUUGAAAGAGGAGCCUCCUUCGGGAUGAAAUGACAGGUGGUGCAUGGCUGUCGUCAGCUCGUGUUGUGAAAUGUCGAGUUAAGUCUCGUAACGAGCGCAACCCAUGUCUCUUGUUGCUCAUUGAGUGCUUAAGAGAGACUGCCGACCAACAUCGGAGGAAGGUGUGGAUGAUGUCAAGUCAGCAUGCCCCUUACAUCCUGGGCUACACACGUACUACAAUGGUAGGGACAAUGAGCUGCGAUCCUGCGAAGGCUAGCCAAUCUCAAAAACCCUAUCUCAGUUCGGAUUGUACUCUGCAACUCGAGUACAUG